CCAGCUGAACAGGUCCGUCGGGAAAUCUGCUCGCUCAACGAGCAGGCGUCCGGCGGAAACCAGUCAGCUUGGGACCAGAAGACCCGAGGGGUACGUCCGGGGUAGGAGUGAAAUCCUGUAAUCCUGGACGGACCACCGGUGGCGAAAGCGCCUCGGGAAGAUGGAUCCGACGGUGAGGGACGAAAGCUAGGGUCACGAACCGGAUUAGAUACCCGGGUAGUCCUAGCCGUAAACGAUGCUCACUAGGUGUGGCACUGGCUACGAGCCAGUGCUGUGCCGUAGGGAAGCCGUGAAGUGAGCCGCCUGGGAAGUACGUCCGCAAGGAUGAAACUUAAAGGAAUUGGCGGGGGAGCACUACAACCGGAGGAGCCUGCGGUUUAAUUGGACUCAACGCCGGACAUCUCACCAGCUCCGACAGUGUGCAGUGACGGUCAGUGUGAUGAGCUUACCUGAGCCACUGAGAGGAGGUGCAUGGCCGCCGUCAGCUCGUACCGUGAGGCGUCCUGUUAAGUCAGGCAACGAGCGAGACCCGCACGCCUAAUUGCCAGCAACACCCUUGUGGUGGUUGGGUACAUUAGGUGGACUGCCGCUGCUAAAGCGGAGGAAGGAACGGGCAACGGUAGGUCAGUAUGCCCCGAAUGAGCUGGGCAACACGCGGGCUACAAUGGUCGAGACAGUGGGAUGCAACCCCGAGAGGGGGCGCUAAUCUCCGAAACUCGAUCGUAGUUCGGAUU
Molecule: ribosomal RNA, 734 nt
Filed under: uncultured Halobacteria archaeon
Lineage: Archaea; Methanobacteriati; Methanobacteriota; Halobacteria
Description: bacterial SSU rRNA
Rfam family: Archaeal small subunit ribosomal RNA
Source: RNAcentral